AUUUACAUAAAUUAAUUACCUGGCUUAAAUCUACUAGAAGAGGCUGUCCCUUAAAAUUUUUAGCCCAGAGAAGGAUAUUGAGGAGUGCCAGGGAUUGCUCAUAUUCUUGCUAUACACUUACCUGCUUAGAAUUCAGAAAUUUUUAGGGCUACAAGAAGGGGAAUAUGGGACUGCAUCAAGGGAAAAUUUGGGUAAAUGGUGAUGAUGAAGGUCUGCUGCAAAACUGAGCUUCUGAUUUGGUUUCUACUUCAAGCUCCAAGCUCAAAUGUAGCAACGAUUUAUGUAUUAAAUGCAUGAAAAUAUUUCACAACAUCAAGGGCAAGACAAAGGAAAUUGGGCAGUCAGCAGCUUCGGACAGCUUGUCUGCUGAGGUGAUGCUACCUGGAAAUCUUUCAGCUCCUCUUCCAGUGUGGAGGAGCUCAGAGGACCUUUGCUAAAAUCCUAAGAUUAAUUAUUAGUGCAAGGAGAACAAGAGUAAAAUGGUCAUCUGGAUAGUGGCACAUCUUGAACAAGUAACAUUUCCAGAACAAGGCAACUGUCUGAAGAACUACAGCGUGAGGAGCACAAAAGGUCCAGUGCCCAGGACACAAACCCUGGAGGCUUUGGCUAACAAAGGGGCUGACAAGGAGAGCCUGAGUGACAGUGAGUGAAGUGUUCACCAGAUCCUUUUGUUACAGAUAGCAGAAAUAUAAACAACACUUAAUUCAAAGAAAUUAGGAAUUAUUUGAG
Molecule: long non-coding RNA, 729 nt
Filed under: Cyanistes caeruleus (blue tit)
Lineage: Eukaryota; Metazoa; Chordata; Aves; Passeriformes; Paridae
Description: lncRNA (ENSCCEG00000012862.1)
Source: RNAcentral